Molecule: long non-coding RNA, 6501 nt
Organism: Ornithorhynchus anatinus (platypus)
Lineage: Eukaryota; Metazoa; Chordata; Mammalia; Monotremata; Ornithorhynchidae
Exons: 4
Source: RefSeq, a predicted model, not a curated record
AGGAUUCGAACCCAGGACUUCUGACUCCCAAGCCCGUGCUCUUUCCACUAGGCCACGCUGCUGGCCCUUUGGCCCUGUUGGCCCUUUGUGUUCCAACCAAGGUUUGGCCUCCUGUCAGAAAUUGGAAGUGCCCACUCCACCCAAGGCUACAGGAGUUGAGGAGAAGCAGCAGAGGAGGAAGGAGGAGACCAAGAAUGUCCUGCCCGCCCCGAGACCAACCAGACCGGAGCCUAAAACAAGCCGAAGAGGGAGAUCGGGGAGGCGGCUGGGACAAGCAGAAUGAUACGUCCCGGAGGGACUCGGGCCCGAGACCCGCACCAAUGAGGGGGAGGACGAGGGAGAAGCACCCGGGGAUCAAGCCAACGUGUGGAGACCAGGACGGCCUGAGAGCAGAUGGGAGUCGACCCGUCCACCUGCAAAAAUUAAGUACCCGGUCCUACUUGAACCAAAACCCACUUGGAAAUUUUACUGCUCAUAUCAAAUGAUUUGAACUCUGAUCAAUCUCUCUCACAGUUUUCCCUUCCAAAGGAAAAAGAUAUUAGGACUUUUCCUCACAGAAUAUUUUCCCAGUCCAUUUUCAGGGAAAAAAACUCUGGUAAGGAUGAUGCUUUUCCUCCUUAGAAGUCAAUCAGAGUAGAGGUAGGGGGUACCGGGGAGGCUUUCGGUAGGAAGAGGUAACAAGGGAAAUAGAAGAGAGAGGUUGAAUACCUAGUAUUGUGAAGAUAUUUCCAAGUAGUUUAAAACACUGAACCUUCCUGAAAAUUUCUGAGGGAAAUGGACCCCUAGUCUCCUUAAAAGGAAUGAAGAAAAUGUCUUAAGACAGGGCUCCCUGAUUUAGAGCAGUUCACUCUCCUGACUAUUGGGGUUGGGUCUAUGUUCCAUGUGAGGUUUGGAUUAGUUGAAGAAGAGAAAAAAUCCUUGCGCAUCCUCUCAGGGUGUGAUUCCGAAAGAGCUCUGGAAAAGGAGUCCUGCUGUAUAUGAAACGAUGGUAUAGUCUGUGCUGAAACCCAGGUUGAUAUAUUUCAGAGACUUCACCCACCUGCUUCCGGGAGCGCCCCAUCCAGCAAGCAUCCUCACCGGCAGAGCUGCGGUCUCAGACAUCAGCAGAAGCCGACCGACGGGAGGGUGAGGCGGGUUAGAUGACCAGGUGCCGGGAGCAGCGAAGGUAUCUGGAACAAGGAGGAAAGGAUUUAGGGCUGGGACGAGUGAGUUGUCGAGCUAUGUCCAGGCCUGGCGACGGGAAGACUAAUCUCAGCCGUCGUCAGAAGUGUGGGCGACGCUCACGAUCGCCAGGCGUGGGGUGGAAUCCUUGCCCGGGUACCAACGCUUUAUCCCUGGGCACGACAAUCCACAAAAGGGAAAGGUCAGAGAGUCACGCGUGCCCCUCACCUUGGGGGACGUGAGAGAUUCACCGCGUCGUCUUUAGGGAUAUUUGCCAAAGGAUACCAAUCUAAUUGUGGAGCGGCUCCACCUCUACAGAUAGCACUAAUGUAGGCAUUUUCUCUUCUCAAUGCAGGCUAAUAGUUUACCAUCAGCUGGUAGGAUUUUUGUUCCCCACAUAGAGAGAGCAAGGAGAGAAUCAGUGUUCCUCGAUUCGGGGAUAAAGAAUGAAAUGAAGGUGCAGCGCUCCCAAGAAGGGGAAUUGGCGUGAUGGGGUCUGCCGUCGGAGGCGUGGCCACUGUCCCCGUGGCCCCGUCUUGCAGCGCGGGGGAGCAGGGGCGGCCCGGUGAGAGGGACCCGGGGAAGGAGGGAGGUGCCCCACCGGGCCCGAGGAGCUGGGAUGGCGGGUCGGAGCCCACUGCAGCACUGCCACUCGGUGCCCCCUGAUCCUCAGUGGGAGGCCCACUGCGGGGGGAUGGUGGCAGUGCAGGGGAGGGAGCGGCAGGGAAGAGGGGCUGGCUGGGGAAGGACCGCUUCUCUCCCUUUUCCCCCUUUCUGCCUCCCCUCCUUUCUCCCCAGCCACUGCUUUGUUUAAGACUAUCUGACCAAUUGAUUGUUUUGUCCUCAAAGUUUUGAAUCUGUCCAGAUUUGGGGAGCUGUUACUCUGGACUGGAUCUUGCCUGUCGGUGGUAAGCACUGAUAAGAACAGAGGUAAGUGCCAGCCGGGAAGGGAGAGAUCUCCUAAUUGCCCUGAGGGGUUGGUUCAAGGGCUAUCCCCAGGGUGGCCCUGGGAGCGGGCAAGUGUUGCCUCGAUGAAUGUCAGUGCAUUUCCCACCUGCCCUAGCUUGCCCACUUUAAAAUCUGCUUUUAGGAUUUUUGUUGCCCACAUACAGCAAGGAGAGAAUCAGUGUUCCUAGAUCCGGGGGAAAAAUUGAAGCCAAGGUGCAGCGGUCCAAGAAGGAGGAUGGACAUGCUGGGGUCUGCCGUCUUAGGCGUGGCCACUGUCCCUGCGACCCCAUGUUGCCGCGCGGGGGAGCAGGGGCGGCCCGGUGAGAGGGAACCGGGGAAGGAGGGAGGUACCCCACCGGGCCCGAGGAGGUGGGAUGGAGGGUCUGCGCCCACUGCAGCACUGCCGCUCGGUGCCCCCUGAUCCUCAGUGGGAGGCCCACUGCAGGGGGGACAGUGGCAGUGCAGGGGAGGGAGCGGCAGGGGAGAGGGGCUUGCUGGGGACCGCUUCUCUCUCUUUUUCCCCAGCCACUUCCAUUUCUCCUCCUCCCCUUUCUUCCCUCCAAAAGAACAAGUUUGUUUCCACAGCAGCCCGACAUUGGCGGACCCCAGCCCCUUGGAGGACCACAGCCCACCAGCCAAACCAGCUCCAACCUCUUCCUGGACUCUCACCGGCCCUUUGGAAGCCAUCCUGAAGUACUCCUCACAGCCCCUUAAGGCACAGAGCAAUAAAGUCACUUGCCCAAAGUCACACCGCGGCCAAGUGGCAGAGUCAGGAUUAGAACCCAUGACCUCUGACUCCCAAGCCCGUGGUCUUUCCCCUAAGCCACGCUGCUUCUCCCUCCUCCCUGACUCCUGGCAUUGGGAUCCUUGUCCCUGUGAGGUUUGGAUUCCUGUCUGUACCGAGACAAAAGAAAUGACUUACAUAUCUUAUAGCACUAUGAAUUAAUAAUGCCUUUGGGAAAGGAAUUCCUCCUGUUUCCUAGGAAAGCCCUGUUGUCGCUUUGUGUUCCAACCCAGGUUUGGCCUCCUGUCAGAAAUUGGAAGUGCCCCCUCCACCCAAGGCUACAAGGGAGUUGAGGAGAAGCACCAGAGGAGAAAGGAGGAGACUCGCAUAUCCUGCCCGCACCAGGACCAACCAGACCGAAGGCCUAAACCAAGCCGAACGGGGAGAUCAGGGAGGCAGCAAUGAAUGCCAAGCAAACUGAUACGUCCCGGAGGGACUCGAGCCCGGAAGCGCACCAGUGAGGAAGAGGACAAGGGAGAAGCACCCGGGGAUCAAGCCAACAUGUGGAGACCAGGACGGCCUGAGAGAAGAUGGGAGUCGACCCGUCCAUGUGAAAAAAAUAAGUAUCUAAUCAUACACGAACCGAAACCAACUUGGAACCUUUUUACUGCUCCUAUCAAAUGAUUCGAACUCUGAUCAGUCUCUCUCACAGCUUUCUCUUCGUGAUGAAAAGGAUAUUAGGAUUUUUCCUCACAGAAUAUUUUCCCAAACCCUUUUCAGGAGAAAGAACUCCGGUUAGGAUGUUGCUUUUCCUCCCUAAAAGUCACGGUAGAGCUAGGAGGUACGGGGAGCCUUUCAUUAGGAAAAAAUAAUAAGGAAAAUAGAAGAGAGAGGUUAAAUACCUAGUAGCGUGAAGAUAUUUAAAGUAGAUUAAAAAGCUGAACCUUCCUGUAAAUUUCCAAGGGAAAUUUACCUCACGUCCCCUUAAAAAGAAUGAAUAAAAUGCCUUAAGACAAGGCUCCCUGAUUUAGAGCAGUUCACUCUCCUGACUAUUGGGGUUGGGUUUAUGUUCCAUGUGAGGCUUGGAUUCGUUGAAGAAGCGAGAAAAAUUCCUUGCCCAUCCUCUUAACGGUGUGAUUCUGAAAGAGAUCUGGAAAAGGAUUCCUCCUGUACCUUUUGAAAACGUUGGUAUAGUCUGUGCUGAAACCCGGGUUGAUAUAUUUCAGAGACUUCAGCCGCCUGCUUCCGGCAGCGCCCCGUCCAGCAAGCAUCCUCACCGGCAGAGCUGCAGUCUCAGGCAUCAGCAGAAGCCGACCACCCGGAGGGGGAGGAGGGUUGGAGGAGAAGAUGCCGAUAGCAGCGAAGGCCGGCAGGCUGCAAUUCGAAACCUCCGAUCGGCUCGGCUUCUCCGCCAGUAUUGGAAGAACGAAGACUGCGGUGAGAGAGGACCUUCGCUCCGGAUCAUGCGGCAAGAGAUGGAUAAAGGGAAAACCCUUUGAGGCUCCAAAUGCAUCCCCAGGGCUGCAUCCUAGGUCUUCAUGGCCGGGAAGAUGGAGGAGGAAAGAAAACUAGUUUGCUUGAUGCAUACCAAUCCCCAGAUUUCAUUUAUCCACCCGACGGUCUUCAUGGCCCGAAAGGAUCCUGUGGGGUUAAAAAAGGAGAAUUUGGCUUCAUGCAAAAACUCUCCUGCUUUGGCAACUGCUUAAGGUCCCUAAGGCCUCAAAAGAGAAUAUAUGAGGGGUGAAAGGAGACACGGGAUUCUUGCAGAUACAUCUCCUGUUCAUUACUCCACCUCAGAGCUGCAAGGCCUUUUAACUGGGAAUGAAAGAGAAUAGUGGAAGUGUAAAAGGGGAAAUUUGCUUCGUGCACAAAAUCUCCAGCUUGUAUUUCUCUACCUAAGGUCUUUAUGGCCAGAAAAGAGAAACUUUUAGGUCCAAAAGAAGAAAAUGGCUCCAUGUAAACAAUGUCCAGCUUUUCUUUCUUUCUACCCUAAGGUCUUUGAGUCCUCGAAAGAGGGUUUUUGAGGUGCAAAAGGAGAAAGGUAGUUUCCUGGACCAAAUCUCCAGUCUCUGUUUCUCUGAGGUCUUCCAGGCCUCCAAAGAGACUAUUUCAAGUGAAGAGGGAGAGAUUUGCUUCAUGCAAGCAAUUGCCUGCGUUCAGGCCUCUAACUGAAGGGUCCAAAGCCUGAAUAGGUAUGGCAGGAAAAAAGGACAGUUUUGCUUCAUGCAAGACCGGUCCUGAGUUCACCCAGGUCUUCUAAGCCAUCAAAGUGGUGACAUGAGAUGAAAAAGGAGAAAUCUGCUUCCUGCAAACCGUCUCUAGCUUUUAUGUCUGUAGACGGGGGUCUUCAAGGCCUAAAAAGAGAAUAUAUGGCAUUGAAAAAGGAGUAUUUUGCUUCCUGCAAAAAGUGUCCUGCGUACUGGUCAACCCAAGGUCUUUAAGACCAUCCAACGGAAUGGAGAAGCUGAAAAAGGAUGACUCUGCUUCACGCAAACCAUCUCCAGCUGUCAUGUCUUUCUACAAGGUCUUCAAGGCCUUAAAAGAGACCACUGGAGGUGAAAAAAGGAGAAAUCUUUUUGCUCACGCGGAUGCGCUUCCUGGGCAUUAUUCCUCCCCAGGCCUUCAAGGCCUCUGAAUUGAGAGUGAAGACUGAACAGAGAAUCUUUGAGGAGCAAAAGGAGAAAUUUGCUUCUUGCUAACCCCCUCCAGCUUUGAUUUGUCUCCCUAAGGUCUUCAAGGCCAGCAGAGAGAAUAGUUGAGGCGAUAAAGGAGAAAUUUGCUUCAUGCCAACCAUCUCCUGCUUCUACGUCUCUUUCGAAGGUGUUGAAGCCAAGGAAAGGGAACAUUCACGGUGAAAAAGGAGGAAUUUGCUUUCUGCCUAGAGACUCCAGGUUGUAUUCCUCUUAGGUCUUCAAGGCCUCCAAAGAAAAUAGGCAAGGCUCAAAAGGAGAAAUUUGCUUCAUGAAAAGAAUCUCCUCCUUUCAUUUGUCAACCUAAAGUCUUCAAGGCCUGAGAAGGGAAUCCUUGUGAUAGAACAAGAGAGAUUUGCUUCAUGCAAACAAUCUCCUGCUUUGAUUACUCUACCUGAGGUCUUCAAGGCCUCAAAAGAGAAUGUUGGAGAUGAAAAUGGAGAAAUUUGCUUCCCGCCAAACCAUCUCCUACUGUUAUUUCUCUCCUUACGGUCUUCAAGACCUGAAAAGAGGAUAUUUGAGGUUUGAAAAGAAAAUAAUUUGCUUCAUGUAAGCCAACCACCCCACCCCCUUCAUUUCUCUACUAAGGUCUUCAGGACCUGCAAAGAGAAUACUUGUGUCUAAUAAGGACAAGUUUGCUUCCCGCAAGCCAUCUCCUGCUUUUGUUUCUCUACCUAAGGGCCGGAAAGAGUGCUAUGUAGGGUUAAAAAAGGAAGAACUUUGCCUCUUGGAGAAACUGACCUCGUCGUAUUUCUCCCUAAGGUCUUCAAGACCUGAAGAGAAAAUAGAGGAGCCGGAAAAGGAGCCAUUUGCUUCACGCAGAAACAUCUCCUGUUCCUUCCUCCAGUGGAGGUCUUCAAGGCCUCCGCAAAGCCAGUGAAUAGAGAAUCUUGGUGGUGAAAAGGAGGAAUUUGCUUCAUGCAAAAAGCCCUGCUUUUCUUUCUCUCCCUAAGGUCUUCAGGGCCUGAGAAGAGAAUA